UACUUCUGCUUAAUGUUACACUGUCAGAUAUGCAAAAGAAAUCUAUCGUAUCUCUUGCUCUGGCUACUGUGUAUAGACCACCAGGGCCGUAUACAGAUUUGCUAAAAGAAUUUGCAGAUUUCCUCUCAGACCUAUUGGUUACUGUUGAUAAAGCGCUAAUUGUCGGAGAUUUUAACAUUCACGUUGAUAAUACAAAUGAUGCAUUAGGACUUGCGUUUACUGACCUAAUAAACUCUUUUGGAGUCAAGCAAAAUGUCACCGGGCCCACUCAUCGUUUUAAUCAUACGCUAGAUUUAAUUAUAUCGCAUGGAAUUGAUCUUACUGAUAUAGAUAUCGUACCUCAAAGUGAUGAUGUUACUGACCAUUUCCUUGUAUCGUGCAUGCUGCGUAUUACUAAUAUUAACUAUAUGGCUCUGCAUUAUCGUCCGGGCAGAACUAUUGUUCCAGCCACCAAAGACAGAUUCACAAAUAACCUGCCUGAUUUAUCUCAACUGCUUUCUGUACAUAUAAAUACACAUGAACUAGAUGAACUAUAUUCGUCUAUAUGCACUAUAUUCUCUAAUACAUUAGAAGCUGUUGCCCCCAUCAAAUUGAAAAAGGUUAGAGAAAAACGUACUGUGCCAUGGUACAACAGUAAUACCCAUUCUCUCAAGAAAGAAACUCGUAGUCUUGAGCGCAAAUGGAGAAAAACUAACUUGGAAGUUUUUAGAAUUGCGUGGAAAAACAGUAUGUCCAGCUAUAGACAGGCUCUAAAAGCUGCCAGGGCCGAGCAUAUCCACAAACUCAUAGAAAAUAACCAAAACAAUCCUAGGUUUUUAUUUAGCACAGUGGCUAGAUUAACAAAUAACCAGACGCCACCCGAUCUAAAUAUUCCCGCACAGUUUAAUAGUAAUGACUUUAUGAAUUUCUGCACUGAUAAAAUAGAUAACAUCAGAAAUACAAUAAAAAAUGUAGAUUCUACAGCGUAUAAUACUUUAGCUUCAUUCAUCGCACCAAAAGAUAAAAUGCAGUGCUUUACAACUAUAGGACAGGAAGAGCUAAAUAAACUUAUCACUGCAUCUAAACCAACAACAUGCCUGUUAGAUCCUGUACCCACUAAAUUACUGAAAGAGUUGUUACCUGUAGCAGGAGAAGCG
Molecule: long non-coding RNA, 1136 nt
Filed under: Sinocyclocheilus grahami
Lineage: Eukaryota; Metazoa; Chordata; Actinopteri; Cypriniformes; Cyprinidae
Description: lncRNA (ENSSGRG00000050499.1)
Source: RNAcentral